Molecule: long non-coding RNA, 2916 nt
Organism: Macaca fascicularis (crab-eating macaque)
Lineage: Eukaryota; Metazoa; Chordata; Mammalia; Primates; Cercopithecidae
Source: Ensembl
UUUUUUUUUUUUUUUUUUGAGAUGGAACCUUGUUCUGUCACCCAGGCUGGAGUGCAGUGGCAUGAUCUUGGCUCACUGUAACCUCUGCCUCCCGGGUUCAAGCAAUUCUCCUGCCUCGGCCUCCUUAGUAGCUGGACUACAGGCGCCUGCCACCACGCCUGGAUAGUUUUUGUAUUUUUAGUAGAGAUAAUAUUUCUCCAUGCUGGCCAGGCUGAUCUCAAACUCCUGGCCUCAAAUGAUCCAUCUUCCUCAGCCUCCCAAAGUGCUGGGAUUACAUGAAUGAGCCACCGCACCCGGUCAUCAAGUUCUUGAUGAAUAGGAAAGUCUACUGUGAAGAGGAGAGGGAAAUAUUUGAGUAUAUUUUUAGCCAAUGAAGACUUUCUUUUUGAUAUGUACUUUCCAAACAAAAAUGUAUUAACUUCUUACUCUGAGUCAGCGGCACCUGUGCUGGACACAGGCAUGCCAGCAAACAAGACAGACACACGCCUUGCCUUUUAGGAAAUUAUAAUCCAAUAGGAAAGACAGAUACUAAAUGAACAAUUCAGCCAAACUUAAUGGGUACUAGCCCUAACUCUCUUGUGGCAGAUUGUAUUUUCCAAAGAUGGCUUCAAUAUGCUCUCUUUCAAUGUGACUAACACUAUUCCAUUGAGACGCAGGGUCUGCAUUCCCUGUCCUUGAAACUUAUUGGACUGCUAUGACCAACAGAAUGUUGUGGAAGUGACACUGAGUGACUUUAAUGGAAGUUUCCACCAAUCUUUAUUUCGCUCUCUCUCUCUUUUUCUCAGGACUCUCCCCCUUGGAAUCCAGUCACUAUGUUGUGAGGAAGCCCAGACCACAUGGAGAGGCCACAUAUAGAGGUUCUAGCCAACGACUCCAGCUAAAGCCUCAGUCAGUCAACAGACAGCAUCUACUCAUGCGAAUGAACAGGUCUUCAGAUGAACCCAGCCCCAAGCGUUUGGCCCUUUCAGCUCAGUCCGCAGACAUCAAGAAACAUGGAGAAGCAUUUGCCCUAUCGAAUUCCCAAUCCACAGAAUCCACGAGUGAUUGUUUCAUGCCACUAGGUUUUGGAGCAAUUUGUUCUGCACCCAUGGCAACUAUAUUACCUCUCUAGGUUUCUUUGCACAAAAGAACACUGGACUGGAAAUAAAGUGAGUAGCAUAUAUUCCCAUCUCUUUCCCUUAAUAGCUGUUGACACUCACUAACUGUGUGAACUUGGGCCUGUCAUUUCUCAUCUCCAGGUUCUUUAUCCUCCCUCCUGAAAUAUGGGGAUGGAGCUGGAUGAUUUCUAAGAGCCUAGGAAGCUUGAAAAUUGUACCAACAGAGACUCUUUAUGGAAUGACCCAAUUAAAACCAUGUCAAUUGAUAUGGCAAGAGGUGAACUUUUUAAUUGAAAUUCUUGAUUUUUUGUUUUAUCUUUCUGGGAGGUGAAAUCAACUAAAGCCAUUAGGAAAGCAAAAGGGCUCCUCUAAUGCAUAAUUCAUGAAAGGAAAGUGGGUUUGACCCAACAGGUCAUUUGGAAUAAAAAUGCCAUAAAAAUAAAAUAUGUUAUCCCUCCCCUUCUGCCCCCCCACCAUCCCUUACACUAGCUAAUGGAGGGGAAGAGUGAAUUAAACUGGAGUUCAGGUCAAAGGUUUAGUUGAUUUAUUCCAGAAUGGUCAUUCCCUCCAGCUGCUCAAGUAACAAUGGACAUUGCAGAUGUUCAGGCAGUUUUGUCCCCACCCUAGGGCCCUUGUCCUGAGUGAUAAGGCCCCUCCUCCUUCCCUGGGGAGAUGACCUCAUUUUCUAAUGGCCUGCCCAAUUAGGAAGCAUAUGAGCCUAGUGAGAAGACACCUUGUCUGCUUCAAAAGCUUUGGGGAAAUUCCCCAAAGGGCCAACCUGUUUCACAGAGGCAAAGGGAAAAAAAGUAGACAGCCUGUAAUUAGUAUAAUAACCUGUUCAGAUUCCACCUGCCUGUGAUUUCCCCAGCUUGUUCAUCCAUUCAUGUAUUCAUUCACUCAGGCAACAAAUAUUUACAGAGCAGCUGUGAUGUGUAAGCCCUGGUGAUACGACAAGUCCCCCAGAAGAAGCUAACGAUUUGUGUGCAAGCGAUUGAUUAAGGAAGUGCUCCCAGGGGCGUCUGGCAGGGGGUGGGGGUGGGGGGAGCAGGACAGGGAAGGGAAAACUCCAUUCAAAGGUUGAUUUCAAGCAAAGUCCAGGCCUCAGCCCGAUCCUUCAGCAAGCUCUGGAGUGUAAAGCAUGCCUCAGAGUUUGUCCCAAUUCAAAGCAAAGGUGCUAGGCUUUCAGACUUCUGCAUCAGACAGUUACGGGUAAAGCCUGCCCUGGUAGAAAUGUAAAGCCCAGGCAUUUCUGACACUUCACGUGCAGGCAAAGGGGUUCCAGGAGCCUGUGUACAGCAUUUUUUCCUCUUUUUUUAAGGCACAGGUACAUGCUAGUAGAAGUAAAACAACAAAAUAGCCAGGGGUAGACAUUUUCCCACUCUGCCAACCUUCAUAUAUUAGCAUUAUCUCACCUCAUGGUUGCAAGAUGACUCCAAACUUCCAUCCCCUUACAACAAUAUCCAAAGGCAAGAAGGGUUGGGCAGGCAGCUAGCCCCACCCCUACAUAUCUGACUUGCCAGAGAGGAGCAUUUCUCCAGUACACUUUGCAUUGUGUCCUCUUUGUCAGAAGUGGGGCAAUGCACCUUGUUUUGUUUUGUUUUUUUUCAGAUGGAGUCUCACUCUGUUGCCCAGGCUGGAAUGCAAUGGCACAAUCUCGGUUCACUGCAACCCCCGCCUUCCGGGUGUAAACGAGUCUCCUGCUUCAGCCUCCUGAGUAGCUGGGAUUACAGGCGUGCACCACCAUGCCUGGCUAAUUUUUGUAUUUUUAGUAGAGAUAGGGUUUCACCAUGUUGGCCAAGCUGGUCUUGAACUCCUGACC